Molecule: transfer-messenger RNA, 360 nt
Filed under: Bacillota bacterium
Lineage: Bacteria; Bacillati; Bacillota
Also listed under: 2 other names
Description: Firmicutes bacterium (anaerobic digester metagenome) transfer-messenger RNA
Rfam family: transfer-messenger RNA
About the family: Bacterial tmRNA, also known as 10Sa RNA or SsrA, is named for its dual tRNA and mRNA-like properties. Its role is to liberate the mRNA from a stalled ribosome.
Source: RNAcentral
GGGGGCGACAUGGCUUCGACGGGGGUAGCAAAAGCAGGAGCUGCGAGUCCAGGACCAUGGCCUGGUUAAAACAUGGAAGGCUAUAAACGCCAACGAUAAUCAAGUUCUCGCUGCUGCUUAAUUAACCAGUGGCGCAUCUGCCCUUUCCUUGCCUGUGGGAUUGGAUCGCAGGUGUCAUAAAUACAGGCUACCCGGUGCCGGUUCGCUCUGCCCAAGCACUAGGGGAACUAUAAUAGAGCUAGCACCACUGGUAUCCGGUCUUGAGGAAACCGUGGUGUGAAAGCGAAGUCAAGACUACGCUCGUAGACGCUCUUGAUUUUAUACCUUCGGACGCGGGUUCGACUCCCGCCGCCUCCACCA